Molecule: transfer RNA, 59 nt
Filed under: Photorhabdus bodei
Lineage: Bacteria; Pseudomonadati; Pseudomonadota; Gammaproteobacteria; Enterobacterales; Morganellaceae
Description: tRNA-Lys
Rfam family: tRNA
About the family: Transfer RNA (tRNA) molecules are approximately 80 nucleotides in length. Their secondary structure includes four short double-helical elements and three loops (D, anti-codon, and T loops).
Source: RNAcentral
UAGCUCAGUCGGUAGAGCAGUUGAUUUUUAAUCAAUGGGUCGCAGGUUCGAGCCGAGCG